AACAACAACAACAACAACAACUUAAGUGUUUAUUAUAUUUUUGGUCUUUUUACCCUUUCAUACAGAUUGUUUAGGUUAAAUAAAAAAUGACGUUUCAAGGAUCUUUUGAAGAGUUUUUCAAGCAGCAGAAG
This is a long non-coding RNA of Ruditapes philippinarum (Manila clam), 131 nucleotides long. RefSeq lists it as uncharacterized. The record is from RefSeq and is a predicted model, not a curated record. NCBI's taxonomy places the organism in Eukaryota, Metazoa, Mollusca, Bivalvia, Venerida, Veneridae. The transcript has 2 exons.